CACAGCGUCCAGCUUCCAGCUCUUUGGGCAGCUGAGAAACAGCUUGCUCUGCACUGCUGUUUUACAGCCUACCGGGAACAUGUCUUACAAAGGCCUGUGAAACGCAGUUUCUUCUCAGACCUGAUCUCGGUGAAGUAGAAAUUCUGCUCUGCCGUGUCCUGCAUGGGCCUAGAGCUGAAAGGGACAAAGUUCUGCCUUUAGCCCUCAAGGGCAGACUGGUCCCACAGCGUCCGGCUUCCAGCUGUUUGGGAAGCUAAGAAAUAGCUCACUCUGCACAGGGCUUUUACAAGCCUACCGGGAGCAUGUCUGACAAAGGCCUGUGAAACGCAGUUUCUUCCCAGGCCUAAUCUCGCUGAAGUAGAAUAUCUGCUCUGCCGUGUCCUAUUUGCCCCUAGAGCUGCAAUUCACAAAGUCCUGCCUUGUUUCCACAAGGGGAGGCAAGUCCCUCAGCGUCCGGUUUCCAGCUCUUUGGGCAGCUGAGAAACAACUCGCUCUGCACAGUGCUCCUACAAGCCUACCAGGAACAUGUUUACAAAGGCCUGUGAAACGCAGUUUCUUCCCAGGCCUGAUCUCGCUGAAGUAGAAGUUCAGCUCUGCCGUGUCCUACAUGGGCCUAGAGCUCAAAGGGAGAAAGUCCAGCCUUGUGUCCUCAAGGGCAGAGAGGCCCCACAGCGUCCGGCUUCCAGCUCUUUGGGCAGCUGAGAAACAGCUUGCUCUGCACUGCUGUUUUACAGCCUAACGGGAACAUGUCUUACAAAGGCCUGUGAAACGCAGUUUUUUCCCAGGCCUGAUCUCGCUGAAGUAGAACUUCUGCUCUGCCGUGUCCUACAUGGGCCUAGAGCUGAAAGGGACAAAGUCCUCUGUUGUGUCUUCAAGGGCAGACAGGCCCCACAGCGUCCGGCUUCCAGCUCUUUUGCAGUCUAAGAAACAACUCGCUCUGCACAGGGCUCUUAAAGCCUACCGGGAACAUGUCUUACAAAGGCCUGUGAGACGCAGUUUCUUCCCAGGCCUGAUCUCGCUGAAGUAGAACUUCUGCUCUGCCGUGUCCUAUUUGACCCUAGAGCUGCAAUUCACAAAGUCCUGCCUUGUUUCCACAAGGGGAGGCAAGUCCCUCAGCGUCCGGCUUCCAGCUCUUUGGGCAGCUAAGAAACAACUCGCUCUGCACAGGGCUCCUACAAGCCUACCAGGAACAUGUUGAGAAAGGCCUGCGAAACGCAGUUUCUUCCCAGGCCUGAUCUCGCUGAAGCAGAAGUUCAGCUCUGCCGUGUCCUACAUGGGCCUAGAGCUCAAAGGGAGAAAGUCCAGCCUUCUGUCCUCAAGGGCAGAGAGGCCCCACAGCGUCCGGCUUCCAGCUCUUUGGGCAGCUGGGAAACAGCUUGCUCUGCACUGCUGUUUUACAGCCUACCGGGAACAUGUCUUACAAAGGCCUGUGAAACGCAGUUUCUUCCCAGACCUGAUCUCGCUGAAGUAGAACUUCUGCAAUGCCGUGUCCUGCAUGGGCCUAGAGCUGAAAGGGACAAAGUUCUUCCUUUUGUCCUCAAGGGCAGACAGGUCCCACAGCGUCCGGCUUCCAGCUCUUUGGCAAGAUAAGAAACAGCUCACUCUGCUCAGGGCUUUUAAAAGCCUACCAGGAGCAUGUCUUACAAAGGCCUGUGAAACGCAGUUUCUUCCCAGGCCUGAUCUCGCUGAAGCAGAAGUUCAGCUCUGCCGUGUCCUACAUGGGCCUAGAGCUCAAAGGGAGAAAGUCCAGCCUUGUGUCCUCAAGGGCAGACAGGCCCCACAGCGUCCGGCUUCCAGCUCUUUGGGCAGCUGAGAAACAGCUUGCUCUGCACUGGUGUUUUACAGCCUACCGGGAACAUGUCUUACAAAGGCCUGUGAAACGCAGUUUCUUCCCAGACCUGAUCUCGCUGAAGUAGAACUUCUGCUCUGCCGUGUCCUGCAUGGGCCUAGAGCUGAAAGGGACAAAGUCCUGUCUUGUGUCCUCAAGGGCAGACUGGUCCCACAGCGUCCGGCUUCCAGCUCUUUGGCAGUCUAAGAAACAACUCGCUCUGCACAGGGCUCUUAAAGCCUACCGGGAACAUGUCUUACAAAGGCCUGUGAGACGCAGUUUCUUCCCAGGCCUGAUCUCGCUGAAGUAGAACUUCUGCUCUGCCGUGUUCUACAUGGGCCUAGAGCUGAAAGGGACAAAGUUCUGCCUUUUGUCCUCAAGGGCAGACAGGUCCCACAGCGUCCGGCUUCCAGCUCUUUGGGAAGCUAAGAAACAGCUCACUCUGCACAGGGCUUUUACAAGCCUACCGGGAGCAUGUCUUACAAAGGCCUGUGAAACGCAGUUUCUUCCCAGACCUGAUCUCGCUGAAGUAGAACUUCUGCUCUGCCGUGUCCUGCAU
Equus caballus (horse) is the source of this 2387-nucleotide long non-coding RNA. NCBI's taxonomy places the organism in Eukaryota, Metazoa, Chordata, Mammalia, Perissodactyla, Equidae. The record is from Ensembl.